AUGCCGACGCCGCGAAACCGGAAGGUCCCUGCCCCUGCCCCGCCGCGCCGGCCGCCUCCCCGCCUGGAGUACCGCGCAAAGGACGGCGCGUGGUACGGCGCGCGCAUGGCGCUGCAGGGCGACUCGCUGCGCGUCAUGUUCGAGGAAUUCCGCGAGGAGUUCGACGAGUGGCACGACCCAGACGCGGGCGACCUCGCCUCCCCGGGCGACGUGGCCGCGCUCCGCGCCAGGUUCCGCCCGGCGAGCCCGCCCCUCGAGGACGCCCGCUGCGGCGACCUCCGCCGCGGCCAGCCGCUCUGCGUCCUCCGCGCCAUGCCCGACGGCGAGCGCAAGUACUACGACGCCGUCCUCGAUUCCGUACGCUCUUCGCGCUGCGCCGUCCUCACUUCCUUCUUUCCUCACGCAUGUAUGUUAUGCUUUAUCAGCAAGCGCCGACCGAAUACGCAGGUGAAAAGAGCGGCUCACGUCACCGUGGGCGGCGAGGAGCGGUGCGCGUGCCGCUUCACGGUGCGGUGGACGGACGGGCCGUUCCGCGGCGGCUUCGACGAAGUCGGCGUCGACGAGGUCUGCUGCGUGCGGGACUCGCCGGUCAACGACCCGGUGCUGAGCGAGUUCCUGGACCGCGUGACGAGGUCGUUCGGCUUCUGCGACGGCGAGGAGAACGCGAAGGCGGCGCAGGACUCGCCGGUCCAGGACCCGCGGCUGAACGGGUUCCUGGACCGCGUGACGAAGUCCUUCGGCUUCUGCAACGGCGAGGAGAAACCGAAGGCGGCGGCGUCUCAGGGUACCGGGGCCACGCCGGCCCCGGGCAGCGAGCAGAGCGCGACGGCGGCGCCUCAGGCGAGCGGGGCCACGUCGCUCUGGGGCGGCGAGGGGGGGACUGCCUUCAUAAUCAUCGACUAG
This 903-nucleotide ribosomal RNA is filed under the name Triticum aestivum (bread wheat). Its description in RNAcentral is "partial small subunit ribosomal RNA". Lineage: Eukaryota; Viridiplantae; Streptophyta; Magnoliopsida; Poales; Poaceae. The record is from RNAcentral.